RNAcentral lists this ribosomal RNA (497 nucleotides) under uncultured bacterium. RNAcentral's name for it is "partial 16S ribosomal RNA". It matches the Rfam family "Bacterial small subunit ribosomal RNA", at positions 28 to 507 of the family's 1533-position model. The record is from RNAcentral.
GAUGAACGCUGGCGGCGUGCCUAAUACAUGCAAGUCGAGCGAACGGACGAGAAGCUUGCUUCUCUGAUGUUAGCGGCGGACGGGUGAGUAACACGUGGAUAACCUACCUAUAAGACUGGGAUAACUUCGGGAAACCGGAGCUAAUACCGGAUAAUAUUUUGAACCGCAUGGUUCAAAAGUGAAAGACGGUCUUGCUGUCACUUAUAGAUGGAUCCGCGCUGCAUUAGCUAGUUGGUAAGGUAACGGCUUACCAAGGCAACGAUGCAUAGCCGACCUGAGAGGGUGAUCGGCCACACUGGAACUGAGACACGGUCCAGACUCCUACGGGAGGCAGCAGUAGGGAAUCUUCCGCAAUGGGCGAUAGCCUGACGGAGCAACGCCGCGUGAGUGAUGAAGGUCUUCGGAUCGUAAAACUCUGUUAUUAGGGAAGAACAUAUGUGUAAGUAACUGUGCACAUCUUGACGGUACCUAAUCAAAAAGCCACGGCUAACUACGUG